GUGGGGAAUUUUGGACAAUGGGCGAAAGCCUGAUCCAGCAAUGCCGCGUGUGUGAAGAAGGCCUUCGGGUUGUAAAGCACUUUUGUCCGGAAAGAAAUCCUUUGGGUUAAUACCUCGGAGGGAUGACGGUACCGGAAGAAUAAGGACCGGCUAACUACGUGCCAGCAGCCGCGGUAAUACGUAGGGUCCGAGCGUUAAUCGGAAUUACUGGGCGUAAAGCGUGCGCAGGCGGUUUUGUAAGACAGAUGUGAAAUCCCCGGGCUUAACCUGGGAAUUGCAUUUGUGACUGCAAGGCUAGAGUGUGUCAGAGGGGGGUAGAAUUCCACGUGUAGCAGUGAAAUGCGUAGAGAUGUGGAGGAAUACCGAUGGCGAAGGCAGCCCCCUGGGAUAACACUGACGCUCAUGCACGAAAGCGUGGGGAGCAAACAGGAUUAGAUACCCUUGUAGUCC
Molecule: ribosomal RNA, 450 nt
Filed under: uncultured bacterium
Lineage: Bacteria
Description: bacterial SSU rRNA
Rfam family: Bacterial small subunit ribosomal RNA
Source: RNAcentral